This 301-nucleotide ribosomal RNA is filed under the name uncultured bacterium. RNAcentral's name for it is "partial 16S ribosomal RNA". It matches the Rfam family "Bacterial small subunit ribosomal RNA", at positions 509 to 807 of the family's 1533-position model. The record is from RNAcentral.
CAGCAGCCGCGGGAAUACGAAGGGGGCUAGCGUUGCUCGGAAUGACUGGGCGUAAAGGGCGCGUAGGCGGAUUGUUUAGUUAGGCGUGAAAUUCCUGGGCUUAACCUGGGGACUGCGCUUAAUACAGGCAGUCUAGAGUGAGGAAGAGGGUUGUGGAAUUCCCAGUGUAGAGGUGAAAUUCGUAGAUAUUGGGAAGAACACCGGUGGCGAAGGCGGCAACCUGGUCCUUGACUGACGCUGAGGCGCGAAAGCGUGGGGAGCAAACAGGAUUAGAUACCCCUGUAGUCCCUGUCUCUUAUAC